Non-coding RNA from Ictidomys tridecemlineatus (thirteen-lined ground squirrel), 1113 nucleotides. Lineage: Eukaryota; Metazoa; Chordata; Mammalia; Rodentia; Sciuridae. The record is from RefSeq and is a predicted model, not a curated record.
AUGUGGAGUCAUCACAAUCCUUGUGACAAGACAUUCCAGAGUUUUUUCACUAGGUCAUUGUUCUUUCUUCCUUGGGUGAACUUUAUGGGUACAGAAGUUCUCUCUACCUAUGAUGGUCUGUGUCUGUCCUCAGAAGCUCUUCCAAGUCCUGGAAGUGGCUGGGGCCUGUCUCUCUAGUAGUUCACUCUGCCAAGGAGCCGCCAGGUUCAGCUGAAAUAAGGGCUCUGUCUCCAGGUCUUGCUCAAUUUGUUGCAUUUGUGUUUCAGGUGAUGCUGAGGAAUCCCGGGCUGUCAAGAAGGCUCACUUGGUGCUUUGCAGCAUCGGGUCCCACACUGGUCCCAGAAGGGACAUGACUCUGAGAAAGAGCUGAGGGGCACAAGGGAGAAGCCCUCAGGGAGGACCACAGGGAGCGCGAGGCCCUGGCAGGGGAUGCCCUCCAGGGCUGGUUUGCUGGAACUCUGGUCCCAGUCCCUGAGACACUUAUUAAGCAGAGUACUCUUAUUGAGUGACAGUUGGUUUGGAAUGUCCUGUGUUCUGAUUCAGUUGGAGAGCCAGGUGGAUGCUGGUCUGCAGAAUGCUGUCCUCAACACCAGGAAGGUUCAUCACAAGGUAGCUGGCACUGGGAACUUGCUGAAGUGCGGCCUCACAGCUGAAUCUCAUCUUGUCCUCCAGAGGAGCUUCUUUGAUGCUUCUUCUGCCCAGGACGGUGGCCCAGCAGCAACUCGGUCCAGGCUGGUGAAGCAAACUCCUCCGUCCACUCUGGUCCUGUGUCCACAUGGAGUCAACUCCCUGAGGAAUUCAUGAGCAGCCCCACCAAUGUGCUUGCUGACAGGUACUCUGUGUCCUCCUGGCCUCCUGGGGCUCUGCUGCAGGAAGAGGCCCCAAUAAUGUCAAGGAGGGAUCAGAAUGCCCUACCCUGGUCUUGAACACCUGGAGAGCUGAACAGGGCUCCUUCCUUCUGCAGCUAGACCCAGGGCAGCACCUGCCACCCAUCCCUGGUGGGGCUCUGAGAGAGGAGGAGCGUGAGGAGGCCUUGAGAGGCUCACUCUAGGCUUCCCCACAUGAGCUGUGACUCUUCACUUUAUGUCACCCCAAAUAAAAAAUGUCACCACA